CGUAGACUGGUAUUUUGCGAUCCUUUCUUCUUGGUUGGGUUCCUCGCAGCUUACUGGGCCAGCAUCGGUUUGGAUGGUAGGAUAAUGACUAAGGAAUGUGGCUCUACUUCGGUGGAGUGUUAUAGCCUUGGUUGAUACUGCCUGUCUAGACCGAGGACUGCGUCUUUUGACUAGGAUGUUGGCAUAAUGAUCUUAAGCCACCCGUCUUGAAACACGGACCAAGGAGUAUUU
Molecule: ribosomal RNA, 231 nt
Filed under: uncultured Debaryomyces
Lineage: Eukaryota; Fungi; Ascomycota; Saccharomycetes; Saccharomycetales; Saccharomycetaceae
Description: partial 28S rRNA
Source: RNAcentral